AAUACUUUUUGAUAUCUGAAAAUUCCAAAAAUAUUUUCUUAACACAUAUGGAUCAUGAUAAAUCAAUGAAAAAUAGUCUCAUCAAUUUCUUAAUUGAUUUGAGAUUUAUUUGAGAUUUUAAUUCAUAAUGUGUUAUUUUUAUUGUUUUUAAUUGAUUUAAAAUAGUUUCUGUUUUCAAAAAAUAUUGAGAAAAUUUGUCAAAUCUUGUUUGACCAUGUUAGACCUAGGAUGAUUCAAUUGGACUUGUUCAAGUUGAU
Molecule: long non-coding RNA, 257 nt
Filed under: Lathyrus oleraceus (garden pea)
Lineage: Eukaryota; Viridiplantae; Streptophyta; Magnoliopsida; Fabales; Fabaceae
Description: Pisum sativum (pea) long non-coding RNA (PSAT_LNC018910)
Source: RNAcentral